GGCGGCAGCUUACACAUGCAGUCGAGCGGAGUGAUGGUGCUUGCACUAUCACUUAGCGGCGGACGGGUGAGUAAUGCUUAGGAAUCUGCCAUUUAGUGGGGGACAACAUUCCGAAAGGAAUGCUAAUACCGCAUACGUCCUACGGGAGAAAGCAGGGGAUCUUCGGACCUUGCGCUAAAUGAUGAGCCUAAGUCGGAUUAGCUAGUUGGUGGGGUAAAGGCCUACCAAGGCGACGAUCUGUAGCGGGUCUGAGAGGAUGAUCCGCCACACUGGGACUGAGACACGGCCCAGACUCCUACGGGAGGCAGCAGUGGGGAAUAUUGGACAAUGGGCGGAAGCCUGAUCCAGCCAUGCCGCGUGUGUGAAGAAGGCCUUUUGGUUGUAAAGCACUUUAAGCGAGGAGGAGGCUACUAGUACUAAUACUACUGGAUAGUGGACGUUACUCGCAGAAUAAGCACCGGCUAACUCUGUGCCAGCAGCCGCGGUAAUACAGAGGGUGCGAGCGUUAAUCGGAUUUACUGGGCGUAAAGCGUGCGUAGGCGGCUGAUUAAGUCGGAUGUGAAAUCCCUGAGCUUAACUUAGGAAUUGCAUUCGAUACUGGUCAGCUAGAGUAUGGGAGAGGAUGGUAGAAUUCCAGGUGUAGCGGUGAAAUGCGUAGAGAUCUGGAGGAAUACCGAUGGCGAAGGCAGCCAUCUGGCCUAAUACUGACGCUGAGGUACGAAAGCAUGGGGAGCAAACAGGAUUAGAUACCCUGGUAGUCCAUGCCGUAAACGAUGUCUACUAGCCGUUGGGGCCUUUGAGGCUUUAGUGGCGCAGCUAACGCGAUAAGUAGACCGCCUGGGGAGUACGGUCGCAAGACUAAAACUCAAAUGAAUUGACGGGGGCCCGCACAAGCGGUGGAGCAUGUGGUUUAAUUCGAUGCCACGCGAAGAACCUUACCUGGUCUUGACAUAGUAAGAACUUUCCAGAGAUGGAUUGGUGCCUUCGGGAACUUACAUACAGGUGCUGCAUGGCUGUCGUCAGCUCGUGUCGUGAGAUGUUGGGUUAAGUCCCGCAACGAGCGCAACCCUUUUCCUUAUUUGCCAGCGGG
This 1090-nucleotide ribosomal RNA is filed under the name Acinetobacter johnsonii. Its description in RNAcentral is "bacterial SSU rRNA". It matches the Rfam family "Bacterial small subunit ribosomal RNA", at positions 38 to 1125 of the family's 1533-position model. The record is from RNAcentral. Lineage: Bacteria; Pseudomonadati; Pseudomonadota; Gammaproteobacteria; Moraxellales; Moraxellaceae.